UGUUAUAUAUAUAUUUAGUUUGUUUUAUGGGUGUAGUAAAAACAUUAAACUAUAAAACUGACUUUAUCUUUGGAGGUGAUAGUGUGGCCGAAGCUGUCAAAACACUAAGAAGGAGCUAACAGAAGCUAACGACCCGCAAACAAGACGCCGACCCCGGGGAGGGCGGAGCGGGCACAGCCAGGCUGGAUAAGAGGACAGAGAACUACGGGAGUCAGACUGAAUGGAGAACUUUCCUGAAGAUUGCUGCUAUUCUCCGGCUUAUUGCCUCCUGUCCUUCAUGGUUUCACAUGACGUCCCGGGUGUCAGGAUCACCUUCAAGCUGUAAAUGAGGAAGCUGAUGAUACGAGUGGACUGGGAUCAAAAAGGAGGAAAUUGGCAGAGAUGUUGUUGAGCCAGAACACAAACUGGCAUCAUACAUCACACCCUCUCUGUGACUAAUAUCACAGGCUCCGGUUUUGGACACAACCUUGAUGUUGUGGUCCUGAAGCUACCAGAGUUUAUCCUCUUGGCAUCUGGCUGCGAGGUAGAGGGGACCGAGAGAAAGCAUCUGUGGGGUCUCGUCCUCCUCCUCCUCCUCCUCCCUGCCCCCCUUCGUAGAGUCGAGGCUGGAGGAACCCUUGGCACCAGCCCAGUGAAGAGGUGGCUGGAGUAUUAACCGCACAACUUCCCCCACGUAGAAGGUUAAACCCCUUUCACAGUUUCCUCCCUCCCUCCUUCCCUCGGCAGCAGCAGCACAGAGCAUAUGCUCUUUAAAAACAUAUGGUCAGCAACAAAACUUCAACUCUUUAAACAAUGAAAACACUGGAAAUGCUCACUCUGAAUGAAAAGUGAAUGUAAUGAUACUCUUCUUUUUUUUUUUAAUGAAAUAAAGGCGAUUAGAG
Larimichthys crocea (large yellow croaker) is the source of this 881-nucleotide long non-coding RNA. RefSeq lists it as uncharacterized. The transcript has 3 exons. NCBI's taxonomy places the organism in Eukaryota, Metazoa, Chordata, Actinopteri, Sciaenidae. The record is from RefSeq and is a predicted model, not a curated record.